UGGGGAAUAUUGGUCAAUGGGGGAAACCCUGAACCAGCAACGCCGCGUGAGGGAAGACGGUUUUCGGAUUGUAAACCUCUGUCCUCUGUGAAGAUGAUGACGGUAGCAGAGGAGGAAGCUCCGGCUAACUACGUGCCAGCAGCCGCGGUAAUACGUAGGGAGCGAGCGUUGUCCGGAUUUACUGGGUGUAAAGGGUGCGUAGGCGGCUCUGUAAGUCAGAAGUGAAAUCCAUGGGCUCAACCCAUGAACUGCUUUUGAAACUGUGGAGCUUGAGUGAAGUAGAGGUAGGCGGAAUUCCCGGUGUAGCGGUGAAAUGCGUAGAGAUCGGGAGGAACACCAGUGGCGAAGGCGGCCUACUGGGCUUUAACUGACGCUGAGGCACGAAAGCGUGGGUAGCAAACA
RNAcentral lists this ribosomal RNA (402 nucleotides) under uncultured Ruminococcus sp. RNAcentral's name for it is "bacterial SSU rRNA". It matches the Rfam family "Bacterial small subunit ribosomal RNA", at positions 355 to 774 of the family's 1533-position model. The record is from RNAcentral. Lineage: Bacteria; Bacillati; Bacillota; Clostridia; Eubacteriales; Oscillospiraceae.